RNAcentral lists this ribosomal RNA (407 nucleotides) under uncultured Actinosynnema sp. RNAcentral describes it as "bacterial SSU rRNA". It matches the Rfam family "Bacterial small subunit ribosomal RNA", at positions 355 to 774 of the family's 1533-position model. The record is from RNAcentral. Lineage: Bacteria; Bacillati; Actinomycetota; Actinomycetes; Pseudonocardiales; Pseudonocardiaceae.
UGGGGAAUAUUGCACAAUGGGCGAAAGCCUGAUGCAGCGACGCCGCGUGAGGGAUGACGGCCUUCGGGUUGUAAACCUCUUUCAGCAGGGACGAAGCGCAAGUGACGGUACCUGCAGAAGAAGCACCGGCUAACUACGUGCCAGCAGCCGCGGUAAUACGUAGGGUGCGAGCGUUGUCCGGAAUUAUUGGGCGUAAAGAGCUCGUAGGCGGUUUGUCGCGUCGGCCGUGAAAACUUGGGGCUUAACCCCGAGCUUGCGGUCGAUACGGGCAGACUUGAGUUCGGCAGGGGAGACUGGAAUUCCUGGUGUAGCGGUGAAAUGCGCAGAUAUCAGGAGGAACACCGGUGGCGAAGGCGGGUCUCUGGGCCGAUACUGACGCUGAGGAGCGAAAGCGUGGGGAGCGAACA